GAUGAACGCUGGCGGCGUGCCUAAUACAUGCAAGUCGAGCGACCGGACGAGAAGCUUGCUUCCUUGCUGUUAGCGGCGGACGGGCGAGUAACACGUGGAUAACCUACUUCUAAGACUGGGAUAACUUCGGGAAACCGUAGCUAAUACUGGAUCAUAUUUUGAACCGCAUGGUUCAAAAGUGCAUGACGGUCUUGCUGUCACUUAUAGAUGGUUCCGCGCUGCAUUAGCUAGUUGGUAAGGUAACGGCUUACCAAGGCAACGAUGCAUAGCCGACCUGAGAGGGUGAUCGGCCACACUGGAACUGAGACACGGUCCAGACUCCUACGGGAGGCAGCAGUAGGGAAUCUUCCGCAAUGGGCGAAAGCCUGACGGAGCAACGCCGCGUGAGUGAUGAAGGUCUUCGGAUCGUAAAACUCUGUUAUUAGGGAAGAACAUAUGUGUAAGUAACUGUGCACAUCUUGACGGUACCUAAUCAGAAAGCCACGGCUAACUACGUG
This 497-nucleotide ribosomal RNA is filed under the name uncultured bacterium. Its description in RNAcentral is "partial 16S ribosomal RNA". It matches the Rfam family "Bacterial small subunit ribosomal RNA", at positions 28 to 507 of the family's 1533-position model. The record is from RNAcentral.